RNAcentral lists this ribosomal RNA (440 nucleotides) under uncultured bacterium. RNAcentral describes it as "partial 16S ribosomal RNA". It matches the Rfam family "Bacterial small subunit ribosomal RNA", at positions 338 to 795 of the family's 1533-position model. The record is from RNAcentral.
CCUACGGGGGGCUGCAGUGGGGGAUAUUGCACAAUGGGGGGAACCCUGAUGCAGCGACGCCGCGUGUGGGAAGACGGUCCUCUGGAUUGUACACCACUGUCCCCAGGGACGAAAAUGACGGUACCUGGGGAGGAAGCUCCGGCUAACUACGUGCCAGCAGCCGCGGUAAUACGUAGGGAGCGAGUGUUGUCCGGAAGUACUGGGUGUAAAGGGAGCGUAGGCGGGGAUGCAAGUUGGGUGUCAAAACUACCGGCUCAACUGGUAGUCGCACUCAAAACUGCAGCUCUUGAGUGAAGUAGAGGCAGGCGGAAUGCCUAGUGUAGCGGUGAAAUGCGUAGAUAUUAGGAGGAACACCAGUGGCGAAGGCGGCCUGCUGGGCUUUUACUGACGCUGAGGCUCGAAAGUGUGGGGAGCAAACAGGAUUAGAUACCCGUGUAGUC